RNAcentral lists this ribosomal RNA (468 nucleotides) under uncultured bacterium. RNAcentral describes it as "partial 16S ribosomal RNA". It matches the Rfam family "Bacterial small subunit ribosomal RNA", at positions 28 to 507 of the family's 1533-position model. The record is from RNAcentral.
GACGAACGCUGGCGGCGUGCUUAACACAUGCAAGUCGAACGGAAAGGCCCUGCUUUUGUGGGGUGCUCGAGUGGCGAACGGGUGAGUAACACGUGAGUAACCUGCCCUUGACUUUGGGAUAACUUCAGGAAACUGGGGCUAAUACCGGAAAGGAGCUCCUGCUGCAUGGUGGGGGUUGGAAAGUUUCGGCGGUUGGGGAUGGACUCGCGGCUUAUCAGCUUGUUGGUGGGGUAGUGGCUUACCAAGGCUUUGACGGGUAGCCGGCCUGAGAGGGUGACCGGCCACAUUGGGACUGAGAUACGGCCCAGACUCCUACGGGAGGCAGCAGUGGGGAAUAUGGCACAAUGGGCGGAAGCCUGAUGCAGCAACGCCGCGUGCGGGAUGACGGCCUUCGGGUUGUAAACCGCUUUCGCCUGUGACGAAGCGUGAGUGACGGUAAUGGGUAAAGAAGCACCGGCUAACUACGUA